This 266-nucleotide ribosomal RNA is filed under the name uncultured bacterium. RNAcentral's name for it is "partial 16S ribosomal RNA". It matches the Rfam family "Bacterial small subunit ribosomal RNA", at positions 524 to 788 of the family's 1533-position model. The record is from RNAcentral.
UACGAAGGGGGCUAGCGUUGCUCGGAAUCACUGGGCGUAAAGGGUGCGUAGGCGGGCUGUCAAGUCUGGGGUGAAAUCCCGCGGCUCAACCGUGGAACUGCCUUAGAUACUGAUGGCCUCGAGGAAGGUAGGGGCAUGCGGAACUGUAGGUGGAGCGGUGAAAUGCGUUGAUAUCUACAGGAACUCCGGUGGCGAAAGCGGCGUGCUGGACCUUUUCUGACGCUGAGGCACGAAAGCUAGGGGAGCAAACGGGAGUUAGAAACCCU